Molecule: ribosomal RNA, 468 nt
Filed under: uncultured bacterium
Lineage: Bacteria
Description: partial 16S ribosomal RNA
Rfam family: Bacterial small subunit ribosomal RNA
Source: RNAcentral
GACGAACGCUGGCGGCGUGCUUAACACAUGCAAGUCGAACGGAAAGGCCCUGCUUUUGUGGGGUGCUCGAGUGGCGAACGGGUGAGUAACACGUGAGUAACCUGCCCUUGACUUUGGGAUAACUUCAGGAAACUGGGUCUAAUACCGGAUAGGAGCUCCUGCUGCAUGGUGGGGGUUGGAAAGUUUCGGCGGUUGGGGAUGGACUCGCGGCUUAUCAGCUUGUUGGUGGGGUAGUGGCUUACCAAGGCUUUGACGGGUAGCCGGCCUGAGAGGGGGACCGGCCACAUUGGGACUGAGAUACGGCCCAGACUCCUACGGGAGGCAGCAGUGGGGAAUAUUGCACAAUGGGCGGAAGCCUGAUGCAGCAACGCCGCGUGCGGGAUGACGGCCUUCGGGUUGUAAACCGCUUUCGCCUGUGACGAAGCGUGAGUGACGGUAAUGGGUAAAGAAGCACCGGCUAACUACGUG